UUCCGGUUGAUCCCGCCGGAGGCUACCGCUAUUGGAGUUCGAUUAAGCCAUGCGAGUCGUGAGUCUUAGGGACUCGGCGUACCGCUCAGUAACACGUGGGUAACCUGCCCUAUGCUGGGGAAUAACCUCGGGAAACUGAGAAUAAUGCCCCAUAGUUCACCACACCUGGAACGGUGGGUGGAUGAAAGCUCCGGCGGCAUAGGAUGGGCCUGCGGCGUAUCAGGUUGUAGGGGGUGUAAUGUACCCUCUAGCCAUCUACGCGUACGGGUGUUGAGAGACAUCGCCCGGAGAUGGAUUCUGAGACACGAAUCCAGACCCUACGGGGUGCAGCAGGCGCGAAAACUUGGCAAUGCGAGCAAUCGUGACCAGGGAACUCCAAGUGCAUCGGGUAAGACCGAUGCUUUUCUUGACUCUUCAAAGGUCUUGGAAUAAGGGGUGGGUAAGGACGGUGCCAGCCGCCGCGGUAAUACCGGCGCCUCAAGUGGUAGUCGCUUUUAUUGGGCCUAAAACGUCCGUAGCCGGUUUGGUACAUUCGUGGGUAAAUCAAGACGCUCAACGUCUUGAAUUCUGCGAGCACGGCCAGACUUGGGACCGGGUGAGGUGUGGGGUACUCUCAGGGUAGGGGUAAAAUCCUGUCAUCCUGAGAGGACCACCUGUUGCGAAGGCGCCACACUAGAACGGAUCCGACGGUCAGGGACGAAGCCUAGGGGCACGAACCGGAUUAGAUACCCGGGUAGUCCUAGGUGUAAACGCUGUGGACUUGAUGUUGGGAGUGCUCCGAGCGCCCUCAGUGUCGAAGCGAAGGUGAUAAGUCCACUGCCUGGGGAGUACGGUCGCAAGGCUGAAACUUAAAGGAAUUGGCGGGGGAGCACUGCAACCUGAGGAUUGUGCGGUUUAAU
Molecule: ribosomal RNA, 899 nt
Filed under: uncultured archaeon
Lineage: Archaea
Description: bacterial SSU rRNA
Rfam family: Archaeal small subunit ribosomal RNA
Source: RNAcentral